Molecule: ribosomal RNA, 677 nt
Filed under: uncultured archaeon
Lineage: Archaea
Description: bacterial SSU rRNA
Rfam family: Archaeal small subunit ribosomal RNA
Source: RNAcentral
ACGGGGUGCAGCAGGCGCGAAAACUCCGCAAUGCGCGCAAGCGUGACGGGGGAAUCCCAAGUGCCGUUGGUCUUAUGAUCGACGGUUUUUAGGAAGUCUAAGAAGCUUCCAGAAUAAGGGCUGGGCAAGACUGGUGCCAGCCGCCGCGGUAACACCAGCAGCCCAAGUGGUGACCACGAUUAUUGGGCCUAAAGCGCUCGUAGCCGGAUCAGCAAGUCCCUUGUGAAAUCGGGCCGCCUAACGGUUCGGCGUGCAAGGGAUACUGUUGGUCUUGAGGCCGGGAGAGGUCGGAGGUACUCCUGGGGUAGCGGUGAAAUGCUCUAAUCCUAGGGGGACCACCAGUGGCGAAGGCGUCCGACCAGAACGGACCUGACGGUGAGGGGCGAAGGCUAGGGGAGCGAACGGGAUUAGAUACCCCGGUAGUCCUAGCUGUAAAGCAUGCGGGCCAGGUGUCUAGCGCUCCUUGAGGGCGCUAGGUGCCGGAGGGAAGCCGUUAAGCCCGCCGCCUGGGAAGUACGGCCGCAAGGCUGAAACUUAAAGAAAUUGGCGGGGGAGCACCACAAGAGGUGGGACCUGCGGUUCAAUUGGAUUCAACGCCGGANAACUCACCAGGGGCGACAGCUGGUUGACGGCCAGAUUGACGAUCUUGCCCGACUAGCUGAGAGGUGGUGCAUGGC